RNAcentral lists this long non-coding RNA (1887 nucleotides) under Olea europaea subsp. europaea. Lineage: Eukaryota; Viridiplantae; Streptophyta; Magnoliopsida; Lamiales; Oleaceae. The record is from RNAcentral.
CCUCCAAGGGGCGUAGUCACACGAGUACUAAAAGAAGUGUUUAAAUUUAAGCUAAGAAAUUAAAAUUACAUAUUUUCUGUUUGAGAGUAUUUGAAUUGGACCCUUUUCUCUGUCUUCUCUUUCUUUUUAUAUUCCCUUGAUAAUUUCCUCGUGACAAACCACUUGAAAACUGCUUGAUUUCUUUAUAACUACCCACUUUCUUUAUGGUGGCUAACUUGUCGUGGAACUGCCGUCUCUAACUGCUGCCAUUACUCUUUUUCGUUCAACCUCCUUCAACUGGGCUCCUUGAAUCGUGAAAUGUGAUAAGAUUACUCAAUAACUGCUUCAAUAACUACUAUUCUGGAUAAUCAUAAUAUUUUAUGUUUGCUAAGAUCUUGAGCGAUUCGAAGGUUUGGGCGAAAACGGGGUCAUCGCUCUGGGCGACCGUAAGGCACUCCAUCCGCUCAUAUUCUGGGUGUCUUGCAAGCUUGGACGAUGAUGUUACUGUGUUCGUGGGCUUCCACUGCAUUCAUCAAUAAUCCUGUUUGGACAUUUAUCCUGGACUCUCUAAUUGGGCUUCACUCUUUGGGCUAUUUGAUUUGGGCUGCACUUUUAGUGUGUCAACAAUUACCCCCCAAUAUGGCAGAAUUAAUACCAAUUAUUAAUCUUUGUCAUAUUCACUUCGUAUUUUCCAGCAACAUUUGAAAUUCCCAAGAAUUUCGAUCAUUAUUUCCUUCUAUAGCCUGAAAAGGUGCAACGUUACAAACCCUUAUAAACCUAAAAGACACGUCAUUUCAUCGCACCACUAAACCACGUCUCUAUAUUUCGCACAUCCUCCUCACUAUUUUAACUGUUCAUCUUCUUGCUUCUCUGCUACGUUUCUCAGGCAAAUCUUAACAAAACUGUACUUUGCACCCAACGGCGAUUUCACAAACUCAAUCUGAUGAUUCUUUUAGUUUCGAAGAUUUCCAGAAAAUCCUUACUAGGCCGUAUGUAAAUUCAAACUUCCUUGCACAAGCCAAUGCUGACCUCAAUCAAUUCUAUCUGGGUCCAUCAUUUAAUAAUGUCGAAGCCGUUGGACAAGUGGUGGUGGGCCAGCUGUUCCCUUACACUCAAGACCCUCCGUUCCUAAACUCGCUGCCAUUGAGGCGACUCGCGAAAAAAGUAUUCACACUUGGCCCAAAGCUGAUGUUAUUUUUCGUAGAUGGCAUGCACGUCUUGUAAAUCAUGGCCCUACCAAGGCGAUUUUUGAUCGUGCUAGGAUUUUAGACUUAUUCGAAAUCGUUCUUCAACCCCCAAUUUUCGACCCAUUGCUUUUUUCGAUUGCUUUGAGUUUUUGGUCUUUUGAAUAUAAUACCUUCGUUUUCCCUCUUGGUCCCAUGUCUAUUACUUUAAGGAACGUUGGAGCCCUAGUAAAUCUUUCGCCUUUGGGCGAUACCAUCUUUCCUGGUAUCUUGAUUUCCAGUGUUGGCUCGAAAUUUGACAAGAAACUUACUGAGUCCUAUUCAAGCAUGCAAGGAUUUUAUAAUCAUUCGAGUGCUGAAUCUUCCCAUACUGAGCGUGUGACAUUUCUUCAAAUUUAGCUCUGUAAAUAUAUUCUCUGCGUGCCAAGUAUGAAACCUUCUAUGAGCUACUUACCCAUAGCGCAUGAAUUGGCGCAUGGUAGGUCUUUGAACUUAUGUUCCUUCUUUUUAGCUGCGUUUUAUAGAGGCAUGACUUCUCUUCAAUCUCAACUGAAGAAUGGUGCAUCUCCCACUGGCAGUGGGCCCCUUUGAUUCACUCAACUGUGGUUGAGAGCAUACUUUCCACCACUUGGUGCUCCAUCCAUUUCCCUUAUAGGCACUUCUUCUUCUAAACAAUCCACCUUGUUGAUUUCUCGGCCAAUAUUUUGUUCCAACUCGAACACUG